GUCAGUUAGUUUUUCCCUAAUAGCUUGAGUUGUAAGCAAAGCAUCAAUAAAGGAUUAUUCUCUCUCUCCUUAGCAACUCAGUUUACAGUUGCUAAGCCCCAAAAUUGUGUGAUUGUUCUAAACAGUUUUCAUGGAAAUCAACUGAUUUCAUCAUUGUAUCAGAGCAGCAAAUUCAAGAUUCUGGUGCAACGCUUUCUUCUCUUUCUACUGAUAUGAUUCAAUCAACAUUCUGAGUUCUUCGAGGUCUGUUCAAUCCUCAUUUUUCUGCUGGUUUUUCUUCCUAAUUGCUGAUUGAUUAGGAACUUCUGCUUGCUGAUUUCUUUCAUUUUUCUGCAAAACUGCUUUGCUGAUUCUUCCUGAAAUCGUUUAUUGUUGUUAUACUGCUGCAAAUUCCUAGAAAUUUCAUCUAGAAUCUUAUUCAAAAUGACUACACCAAUUUUAGCCCCAAAUCAAGAUCCUGCAAGUCCUUUUUAUCUUCAUCCUACUGACAAUACAUCAAGUCAGUUGGUUUCAAUUAAGUUCAAAGGUGAAGGUUAUGGAGAUUGGAGGAGGAGUAUGAUGAUUUCUAUGUCAUCUAAAAACAAACUAGGUUUUGUUGAUGGUACAAUAACAAAACCAGAUCCUACACAUCCUACAAUUACCAGGCUUGGGCAAGGUGCAAUGAUAUGAUGAUAUCAUGGUUAUUGUUUAAUCUUGAUGGCUCAAUAUCCAAGAGUGUUCUGUAUUUCCACACUGCUAGGGAGAUAUGGUUAGAUCUAGAAGAUAGGUUUGGCUUUGUGUCUGGAACACAACUUUUCUCUCUAGAACAUCAGGCAGCUGAAAUAACACAAGGUGGACACAAUGUGGCUGAGAUUUUCACAGAAAUCAAGUCCAUAUGGGACAAGAUAAGUGCAGCAAAUCCAUUGCCAACAUGCACUUGUAAUCUCUGUGUGUGCAAUGUGACACAGAGAAUCUUUAAAAUGCAGCAGGAACAAAGGCUAAUGCAAUUUCUCAUGAAAUUGGGAGAACAUUUGGCUGUAACCAGAGGAAGCCUCCUAAUGAUGCAACCACUACCAACUAUUUCACAUGCCUACAGAAUGUUGGCACAGGAAGAGAGACAGAGAGAGAUUGGUGCUAUCUCACAACAGCAUGAGAGUCAUGCUUUUGGAGCUGACAGAAGAAGGUUUAAUGACAACCAAAACAAGAGUGUUUUCAAUCCUUCCAGGAAUCAACAACCCUAUUACAAGAGCAACUAUCCAGGAGGAAACAAGUCAUCUGUAAUUCCCCGUAAUUUUAUAAAUCUUUUUAAUAUAUUUUAACGUAUAGUUAAUUAUAUUUAAAUAGAAUUUACGAAUUUUAGAAAUAAAAAUGUAAUUAGCGAAUAUUUAUUUUUAUACGUUUUAAAUAUUUCAACGAUUUAUGAAAUUAAAAUAAUUUUAGAAUUUUAUGUUGAAAAGAAAUUGAAUUACGAAAACGAUUGAAUUUAGGAAAUGAUCCUAAUCGAUUUUGGAUUGAAAUCCUAAAACUAAAUCCUAAUUCUAGCCCAAUUGGCAAAGCCCAAAUAAUAAGACCCAAAACACUUUACUCCUUUCCUUCUCUUUCAAUUCACGUAAAAAGCCAAAAAAAAAACAAGAAACCAAAACCCCUUUCUCUUUCAUCAUUCACGUGCAUUUGCAAACCCUCAAACCUCCUCCUUCUUCAGCCACCGCGCCAACCACCGUCGGUCCAUCACUGCCUGCGCCACCGGUCCUCAUACGCACGCCCCGCAAAACCACCAACUCCACCUGAUCGUUGCCGCUUCGCUCACCCUCCCUGCAGUGCUGCCUUGCUGCACCGUACAUCAACCACCACAGCUUCCCAGUCAGGCUCGCUUUUUCGUCUCCUCCUCUCUGUUUCUUCCUUGCUCCGCACGCAUCGCCCAGCCACCACAACCAGCCGUGUCGACCACCAGUGUCGCACCCCUGCUGCGCAACCACGACCCUGCCGCCGCCGUUUCCCCCUCCGGCCGGCGCCCUCCUAUCUUUUUGGCGAAGAAUUCUCUUUAGGCGAUAUUUGAAAGUGUUAAAGUGGCCUAUUAGUUGUUUAUACAAGUCUCUAAGGAUCAAUAAGCGUUGUCCAUCUACAGGUUUGAAGAUGAUGCAUCAUGGGGAUCGGGAUUAGAGAGCUUGUAUUGUUUUUGUCUUGCUAUGUUAUUUGGGUUUGUUAAUUGAGACUUUAAACUUGUCGUACUAUUUAUAUUUCCUUAUUUUCGUUGGUUGAUUAUUGGGACUAAACCUGUAAUCGAUUAUUUAUAAACAUUAAACAGAGACAUCAAAGCCAUUCUCCAAUAUGCUUGAUUCCCAUAGCUGCAGUGUGCGAGUUGUGCUUCGCCUGCGGCAGAGGUUUAGUCAAUGGAUCUGAUAUGUUGUCAUCAGUUCCAAUUUUGCUUAUCUCGACUUCUUUUCUUUCAACGAACUCUCGUAGAAGGUGAAAUCUACGAAGUACAUGCUUGACUCUCUGGUG
This is a long non-coding RNA of Spinacia oleracea (spinach), 2481 nucleotides long. RefSeq lists it as uncharacterized. The transcript has 4 exons. Lineage: Eukaryota; Viridiplantae; Streptophyta; Magnoliopsida; Caryophyllales; Amaranthaceae. The record is from RefSeq and is a predicted model, not a curated record.